Molecule: ribosomal RNA, 355 nt
Filed under: uncultured bacterium
Lineage: Bacteria
Description: bacterial SSU rRNA
Rfam family: Bacterial small subunit ribosomal RNA
Source: RNAcentral
GGAGGGUGCAAGCGUUAAUUGGAAUCACUGGGCGUAGAGCGCACGUAGGCGGCCUGGUAAGUCAGAGGUGAAAUCCCACAGCCCAACUGUGGAACUGCCUUUGAUACUGCCAGGCUUGAGUACCGGAGAGGGUGGCGGAAUUCCAGGUGUAGGAGUGAAAUCCGUAGAUAUCUGGAGGAACACCGGUGGCGAAGGCGGCCACCUGGACGGUAACUGACGCUGAGGUGCGAAAGCGUGGGUAGCAAACAGGAUUAGAUACCCUGGUAGUCCACGCCGUAAACGAUGUCGACUUGGAGGUUGUGCCCUUGAGGCGUGGCUUCCGGAGCUAACGCGUUAAGUCGACCGCCUGGGGAGU